UGACAUGAUGAAUUAAUUUGCGAUUGAGGAUGUAUAUACCUGGGACACGCCUAGUCCCACACACUAAGGGUUUAUACAGAGCAUGCGAAUAUUUUACUAUUCUGAUAUUU
This 110-nucleotide small RNA is filed under the name Nakaseomyces glabratus CBS 138. Its description in RNAcentral is "Candida glabrata sRNA CAGL0M10238r". Lineage: Eukaryota; Fungi; Ascomycota; Saccharomycetes; Saccharomycetales; Saccharomycetaceae. The record is from RNAcentral.